AGUGAACGCUGGCGGCAGGCCUAAUACAUGCAAGUCGAACGGCAGCACAGUGGAGCUUGCUCCAUGGGUGGCGAGUGGCGGACGGGUGAGGAAUACAUGGGAAUCUGCCCAGUCGUGGGGGAUAACGUAUGGAAACGUACGCUAAUACCGCAUGCGCCCUUCGGGGGAAAGUCGGGGACCGCAAGGCCUGACGCGAUUGGAUGAGCCCAUGUUCGAUUAGCUAGUUGGCGGGGUAACGGCCCACCAAGGCGACGAUCGAUAGCUGGUCUGAGAGGAUGAUCAGCCACACUGGAACUGAGACACGGUCCAGACUCCUACGGGAGGCAGCAGGCUAGAAAUUUGGGCAAUGGGGGAAACCCUGACCCAGUGACGCCGCGUGCAGGAAGGAGCCCUUCGGGGUGUAAACUGCUGUCGUGUAGGGAGAAGGGUACUAAGGUGAACAAUCUUAGUACUUGACGUACUACAGGAGGAAGCCCAGGCUAACCUCGUGCCAGCACG
Molecule: ribosomal RNA, 498 nt
Filed under: uncultured bacterium
Lineage: Bacteria
Description: bacterial SSU rRNA
Rfam family: Bacterial small subunit ribosomal RNA
Source: RNAcentral